UAGUUUUUGACAUGUGUAGUAUGCCUCAACUGUAAUUUAUAAAACGAUUAUGGAGAAAAAGCAGUCUACCAUAAACUACACCAGCAAGCCAAUGGGAGUGUGUGCGAUAGCAUAUGAAGCGUACGGGAUAUGGAGCAACAUGGUGUAAUUGCGCUGCCUGUGUUUGGGUAUAGAUAUCAAACCCUUGUAAUAGAACCACAUGUUCCAUACACCGGCGAUGAGCCAUUUAUCUCAAUCCUCAAUUCCUCAUCACGGUGCAAUACGAUUUCUCCACAGUGAAAGGCAACUUCCCUUCUCUUUUCUUUUUGGUUCUCUGGAGAGAGAAUGCGAGUUUGAGAUAUAAGACAAGCCAAGGGCUUAGAAGUUAGACGAAUGGUGGAGGACGGAAACUGCCUAUUCUGUGCUAUUGCAGAUCAAGUGUAUGGACACUGAAGCAUAUGAUUUGACUAGGAAAAUGUGUAUCGAGUGUAUGGUAUGCACAUUUCCAUAUCCGUGAAAUCUUUCUCUAAGAAGAGUUGGAUCCUUUAUGUUUGCUUUUUUGCUAUUUAGAUUUGUUUUUGGAUAUUUGGUUAUGGUUUAGCCAAUUUAAUAUCCUUAUUAUGACUGUGCCCUGGAAGAGCAGGUGCUCUAUCAUCAUUUAAGCUUCACGAAGUUACUAUGGCAUAAAUCAUAGUAGAUUAUGUAAAUUUGAGGAGGAUAUGUAAGCACAUUUGGCUUGAGCAAUAUACCAUUCAUACGUGGGAGGAA
Macadamia integrifolia is the source of this 747-nucleotide long non-coding RNA. RefSeq lists it as uncharacterized. NCBI's taxonomy places the organism in Eukaryota, Viridiplantae, Streptophyta, Magnoliopsida, Proteales, Proteaceae. The record is from RefSeq and is a predicted model, not a curated record. The transcript is spliced from 2 exons.